AUGAAAGGAUUCCAGGAUCAAAAGGGACACACCAUGUUUAUAAGCCUCAGGCCCUGUAAAACCUGGAUUUGCUCUGCUCCAUACCUUCACUCUCAGGAAAAGGGGAAUGUUUUUCAAAUGGGAAGUCAGACAGUCUACUUCACACACUUUGCUGAUAAGCUGUUUCUUCUCGGUGUGAAAGAAAUCAAAUGUAAGCAAGUCCAGGGACCUCUGAGAGGUUAGCAUACUUGCAGAGACCAGGCAGUCACAAGUAGACUGUCACCUGCGUGAAGACCAGUGCAGACUCUAACCCGCAGGCAGCUAGAAAGAGAACUUGUUCUGAGACUACCUCUGUCCCCUUGUACCUGGCACACAUGACUGAUUUCCUUCUUCCUCCCUCCCUCCCUCUCUCUUUCUUUCUUUUUUUUCUUUCCUUCCUUUUGCCAUUCCCUCGGUAUAUGGAAGUUCCCAAGCUAGAGAUUGAAUCUGAGCUGCAGCAUUCACCUGUGCCAACACCAGAUCCUGAAUCCACUGCUGGGGAUUGAGUAUGCACCUCAGCAGCAACUGGAGCCACUGCAGAGACAACACCAGAUCCUUAAACCACUGUGCCACAGCAGGAACUCCCACAUGACUGAUUUCUAAUGAAGAGGAAUCAUUGGUGAAGAGUCUAUGUAAUAUGUGUCCUACAUUUACCCUCUAAUCGUUUAAAAAACCUGGGUGCACGUGGCUUAUCCAUAUAUUUUAUUUGAAGCUCUCUUGGUUAAUUUUCCUGCUCUCUAAACAACUGAGUGAACUAAACUCACUUAAGAGUUGUCAAGGUGAACCCACUUAAUCUGGUUGACGUCUUGGUGUCUGGAUGAGAUCUACAUGGGAAGUAGUCUAUUUGGCUGCUAACCCCCCGCCCCCACCCCCUGCCGCACAUGUUUAAAAAUAUUCAUCCAUGCCCACUGUGUGCCAGGAGGGGUGCUGAAGACCAAGGAUAGAGCAAGGCAUGAUCCUGUCCCUGAUGCAGAGCACGUGAUUGUGGCAGCCAUGUCUCUUCUUAUGGUAUUAGAGGAGACCUGGCCCCGAUCGUAAGCUUCCAGCAGUGUUUCCAGAGGUGGCUGGGCUUGCUCGUUCAAAGGACAACACAUGCAGUUUCCCACCAACGCAAAUGCCCCAUUCAUUGUCUUCUGGCCCACUUAAACCUUGAUCUAUUAAUUCAUCAUGUAAAACAACAGAAAAAGUUUAAGGGAAUGAUAGUCUCAGCCGUAUUUUAAAUGCCAGCUCUCACGCGGAGUAGAAUACUUAACAGAAGUUAAUUGCUAAUAUGAAGGUCCUUAAUCACAACUACCCUUAACUGCAGCAGUUUUGCUUUGGACAGGGAUUACUGGGAAAAGUUUUGAUUCUGGUUGGAAACCAGCAAGGAAAUAGUACUUACCUUAUGUUGUCAAUUUUUUAGUGCUGGCGUGUUGGGAGUCACUGAGAUGUACUCUUUGCAUGUGCAGAAACGUUAGUUGUUUCAGACUUUACCAUGACUGGCUACAGCUAGUUGAAUAAAAUUCCUGCAGUUCAUUCA
Molecule: long non-coding RNA, 1537 nt
Filed under: Sus scrofa (pig)
Lineage: Eukaryota; Metazoa; Chordata; Mammalia; Artiodactyla; Suidae
Description: lncRNA (ENSSSCG00040000912.1)
Source: RNAcentral